UUGAGGAGAAGAGAAUUCUGAAUGAGGAGGUCAAAUCCAGAAUCAGAAGAGCUGCAGCCAACUGCCACAGAGUACCCAGGCUUGUGUAUGAAAGAAGAAUGUAUGACCAGUCCUACUACAUGGUACAGAAAACUGGAGUGUGAAGACUGUGAAGGCAGAUGAGCUGAGAUCAUCAAAUGACUGUCUGGUUUAUGGACUGAAGAGUCUUGGAGUGAUACUACUUUUGCCAGCACAUACCUUUGAACUUUGUGGGACUACCUUCAUUGGAUCCUGUUAACGGAGAACAUUUGAGAUUUUACACUGUGUCAUUAAAGUACUUUAUUACACUUCUCACAUAUUAGUGUUUUAUAGUAAAUUGUAUUCCUGAUGUUAAAGCUGUAAGUGGUUUUAAAAUAAAACAAAGACCAUGACAUGUUUUCCAAUGUUUUAGAUUCACUGUUCACUCACUUUUUCAUUAUGAUCACACCCAAAAAAUGAUAUCAGCUUAAGUACUGACUUAAUAAAGGAUUUUUGACUGGAAACAGA
Molecule: long non-coding RNA, 525 nt
Organism: Protopterus annectens (West African lungfish)
Lineage: Eukaryota; Metazoa; Chordata; Ceratodontiformes; Protopteridae
Exons: 2
Source: RefSeq, a predicted model, not a curated record